AUCAGGGUUCGAUUCCGGAGAGGGAGCCUGAGAAACGGCUACCACAUCCAAGGAAGGCAGCAGGCGCGCAAAUUACCCAAUCUAGACAGUAGGAGGUGGUGAAGAGAAGUACUGAGUGGUGGCUAAUAGCUACCAACUUGGAAUGAACGUAAUUUAAGCAAUUCGAUGAGUAACUACUGGAGGGCAAGUCCUGGUGCCAGCAGCCGCGGUAAUUCCAGCUCCAGUGGCGUGAUUUAAAGUUGCUGCGUUUAAAACGCUCGUAGUUGGAUCAUGCAGUGGUAUUCAGUAAUUUUAUUAGAUGUAUGCUGACGAUUUUCUCUGAAGAGGUUAUUGGAACUGCAUCAAAUAAAAUGUUAAUGCUGAGUGCCACUAUUUGCACACAAGUGUGGUAUUUGACCUUUAGUGAGUUAAGUAUCAUGUCUUGUGGGGUGUGCCUUGAAUAAAACAGAGUGCUUAAAGCAGGCGAACGCUUGAAUGUUAUAGCAUGGAACGAACAAACGUGUAUUUGUGUAUGUUUAGUGAUAAUUUAGGGAAACCUAUGUUGUUACUGACGUAUGCAGCACCCACCAAAAUACGGAUGUUGGUUUUCGUAUCAGGUGAUGAUUAACAGGAGCGGUUGGGGGCAUUGGUAUUUGGCCGCGAGAGGUGAAAUUCUUGGACCGGCCAAGGACUAACAGAUGCGAAGGCGUUUGUCUAGACCGUUUCCAUUAAUCAAGAACGAAAGUGGGAGGUUCGAAGACGAUCAGAUACCGUCCUAGUUCCCACCUUAAACUAUGCCGACCUGGGAUCAGUUUAGUGAUUUACAAGCACUAAAUUGGUCCCCCUGGGAAACCUCAAGUUUUUCGGUUACGGGGAGAGUAUGGUCGCAAGUCUGAAACUUAAAGGAAUUGACGGAAGGGCACCACCAGGGGUGGAGCCUGCGGCUUAAUUUGACUCAACACGGGGAAACUUACCUGGUCCGGACAUCGAAAGGAUAGACAGACUGAUAGAUCUUUCUUGAUGCGGUGAGUGGUGGUGCAUGGCCGUUCUUAGUUCGUGGAGUGAUCUGUCAGGUUGAUUCCGGUAACGAACGAGACCACCUUCUCCAUUUAAGAUGCGGUAGCAGAAGGUCAGACCCUUGCGGUUUCGGUCGUAAGAGUUUGAUUUUUGCAGAUAAGGUUGUAGAAUUACAAAGAUGAGAUGGGGGUGGUAAAACAUCAACAUUAAGUCUGAGAAAGGAUGCAAUUUUUCCUACCGUUAUGCAGUGUUGGGCAAUACCUACAUGCUGCCUUAUGGAGAGACAACAGGUAUAAAAAAGCCUGAGGAAGUGUGGCUAUAACAGGUCAGUGAUGCCC
Molecule: ribosomal RNA, 1334 nt
Filed under: Myxobolus branchilateralis
Lineage: Eukaryota; Metazoa; Cnidaria; Myxozoa; Bivalvulida; Myxobolidae
Description: SSU rRNA
Rfam family: Eukaryotic small subunit ribosomal RNA
Source: RNAcentral